Molecule: ribosomal RNA, 239 nt
Filed under: uncultured bacterium
Lineage: Bacteria
Description: partial 16S ribosomal RNA
Rfam family: Bacterial small subunit ribosomal RNA
Source: RNAcentral
GAUCCUGGCUCAGGAUGAACGCUGGCGGCGUGCUUAACACAUGCAAGUCGAACGAAGCACUUGAGAUUGAUUCUUCGGAUGACGUCUUUUGUGACUUAGUGGCGGACGGGUGAGUAACGCGUGGGUAACCUGCCUCACACAGGGGGAUAACAGUUAGAAAUGACUGCUAAUACCGCAUAACCCGAUAGGAUCGCAUGACCCAGACGGAAAAGAUUUAUCGGGUGUGAGAUGGACCCGCG